UUUGUAGUAUAAGUGUGUCCUAGGCAAUAUUUGGGAUAUACUUAUACUUGAA
Molecule: microRNA precursor, 52 nt
Filed under: Ursus americanus (American black bear)
Lineage: Eukaryota; Metazoa; Chordata; Mammalia; Carnivora; Ursidae
Also listed under: 2 other names
Description: mir-1302 microRNA precursor family
Rfam family: mir-1302 microRNA precursor family
Source: Rfam by way of RNAcentral